AGACCUUGACAGUUGUAACCGAUAGACUGGGCUGGGGCAAUGCUGAUGAAAGGCAAAUUCCUGAGAGAAAAAUCACCCAGAUUUUUCAGUGCCUUCUCUAGCUUUCUGGAAGUUGUUAUGAGUGGACCUGACUACCUAGAGAGAGUAAUACAGAAGCUCCCUGCUGAUCACAGCUACCUCAUUACCAUGUUCCUCCAAGAUGGCCGCCCCUGAGGAGAAUCAUCAACUGGGCUUUACGGAAGAGAGAAAUCCAAACGACCAUCAGCAACAAAUGAAAGACUGAAGUUGAAAGGAAAUCCAUAAUUUUUGAAUGCUGGCUGAGGUCUGUGACCUCUGACUGAAUGGUUUCCAAGCUCCGAAUUCCUAGUUGCUGAAGAAGGGAAAGGCUCUCUGAUUUACGUGUAAGCAAAACAAUCUAAACAGUAGGAUAAAAUCAUGUUGGAAUGGAGUUCUGUGUGGAUGCUCCUUUGAACCAAAUCAGUUCCACAACUGACCCUGUCAGGGACAUAUAAAUUUAGCAUUUUGGUGUGGAUACAGAAGACGAGAUUAACACAGAUCAAGUAACAUGGAAAUAAAAAAGGAGACAAUGCUGGAUGAUACAGGGGCAGCAACAAGAGGAGAAAACCCAAGCAUUGGCAAAUGCCUCAUUAUCCAAAGAACACUGAGGUGUGCAGCAAAACUGUGUUGAAUGAACUGUAGAUGGAAAUUCUCUCCUUCCCACCGAGGAGCCGCUGCAGGUUGCAGACUCCCAGAAUGCCACACUGAGAAGAGGAGGGCUAAAAUUCUAGAGCAGAAUCCCUGGGGCAGCCCCUGCUGAAGAAGGGUGCAUCUGUUGAGAAUCUCAUCACCGCCCCCACCCCGCCCAGCCUUCAAUUUAGAGGAAUUUCUAGUUCACGCAGAAUGAAGACAAGAUCACAUAAGGGCCUCAGAGUAUGUCAGCUGGGGUCAGACGGGAACAGGAGUCUGGCUCAACACACAUUUAUUGCACUCCUGCUUCAUGCCAAGAAAUGCACCAAAAUCUGGGACUGUGUAACACAGCAAAGGAAAAGACUCAUCUCCAGGAAGCCCCCUUGUCUAGGAAGAGAAAUUGAAUAUCAGCAUAAGGUGGUGAAAAGCUAUGAAGGAGAUGAGUGCCACGAGUCCAUGGAGGAAGGAUUCUAGCCUGGACAGGUGAGGAAUGGCUUUCUGGAAGAAGCAGAUGCCCCAGCUGAACUUUAAAAUGCCCACGUGAAAUGAACUGUCUGUAUGUUCAACCAGCAAAUGGAGUAGGUGGCCACUGUUUAAUUCUGGAAUGGGGAAGUGUAAAGGUGUGGUGUGUGUGUUUACCCCUACUUAGGGAUUCAAAACAGACAGUAAAGAACAAAAGUCUAGCCCUUUGAGCAUUCUCCAUGGGACAUUUGAGGUCUAGCUGGCCCCAGAGAAAGAGAAACAGAAGCAAGGUCAUACCCAUUUGAGAAAAUCAAAGUGUCUGCUCCAAUUGAGUCUGGUGUCCUUAUUCCUGGAAUAGCCAUCCCUACUGCUCUGGUGCUGAUUUACCUCCGGCAGUUCAGUGCUUCCUGGAAGGUAGGCUGGGCUUUUUAACAAAGUGACUCCUUACUUGACAUGUUUUACCCAUACACAGAGGCCACUGCACUAUGUGCAAGAAACAACAAAAAAUUAAAUGAGACUCAAUGCCUUCCUUAGGGAUCUAAAACCCCAGUAACACAGAUAAACAGGUAAACAAAUAAUGGCAUGAUGGUGUGAUUCUAUAGCAACAGGAAUAGAGCACUGCAGGGCCACCGAAGGAAAAGGUGAUGACCUGGCUUGGAUUCAGUGAUAAAAAGGGGCUUACCUCCUUUCUCUGUUUCUGCUAAUAGCCAGUGAUUACCCCAUGCUUUUCCCAUGUUGGGCAUAGCUAUAAGUACUUUGGACAUAGCGGCACAUUUAAUCAUCAUGCAACAAUAAGAGGAAGCUGAGGCAGACAGAAGUGCCCGAAGUCACAUACUUGAAGCCAGGACUUGAACCUGGGCUAUCUGGUUCCUGAAUCCAUGCCUUUCACUAAUAAUUACUUACCCUCCAAUGAGGAACAAGCUCCAUUCUGGCCUUUCUUUAGCGAAGGCAACUGCCUGAGCUCAUGGUCUGAUCUGGCUUCUGGGAAAGAGAAAGCAGGGGAAACGUCUAGAGAUGGCAUACUGGGAGAAGAAAUUUCUUGCUGUGGAAUCCUGCCCCCAUCUCCCACCCCACCAUACACAACCCCACGUGCAUUUACACCUACACGCCGUGUACACAUGAACAUUUUUUCCCCUACUCCCAUGGGCCCCAACUCUGUCUUUUCAUCAAAAUCACCCAGAGUUUUAAAUAAAAUGCAGAUGUUGAGGCUUGUUCCUAAAUUAUAAUCUUG
RNAcentral lists this long non-coding RNA (2380 nucleotides) under Pan troglodytes (chimpanzee). RNAcentral describes it as "long non-coding RNA NONPTRT011705". Lineage: Eukaryota; Metazoa; Chordata; Mammalia; Primates; Hominidae. The record is from RNAcentral.